This 73-nucleotide transfer RNA is filed under the name Neoceratodus forsteri (Australian lungfish). RNAcentral describes it as "transfer RNA-Thr". It matches the Rfam family "tRNA". Rfam says of the family: Transfer RNA (tRNA) molecules are approximately 80 nucleotides in length. Their secondary structure includes four short double-helical elements and three loops (D, anti-codon, and T loops). Further hydrogen bonds mediate the characteristic L-shaped molecular structure. tRNAs have two regions of fundamental functional importance: the anti-codon, which is responsible for specific mRNA codon recognition, and the 3' end, to which the tRNAs corresponding amino acid is attached (by aminoacyl-tRNA synthetases). tRNAs cope with the degeneracy of the genetic code in two manners: having more than one tRNA (with a specific anti-codon) for a particular amino acid; and 'wobble' base-pairing, i.e. permitting non-standard base-pairing at the 3rd anti-codon position. The record is from RNAcentral. Lineage: Eukaryota; Metazoa; Chordata; Ceratodontiformes; Ceratodontidae.
GCCCUAGUAGCUUAAAACUAAAGCAUCGGCCUUGUAAGCCGAAAAUUGAAGGUUAAAUCCCCUCCUAAGGCUG